UGCGCAGGUGGGCUGGUAAGUUCGAUGUGAAAGCCCCGGGCUUAACCCGGGAAAGGCAUUGGAUACUACUGGUCUGGAGGAUUGGGAGGGGGGGACGUGGAAUUCUUGGUGUAGCAGUGAAAUGCGUAGAUAUCAAGAGGAACACCAGUGGCGAAGGCGAGUCCCUGGACAAUACCUGACACUGAGGCACGAAAGCCAAGGGAGCAAACA
This 210-nucleotide ribosomal RNA is filed under the name uncultured bacterium. Its description in RNAcentral is "partial 16S ribosomal RNA". It matches the Rfam family "Bacterial small subunit ribosomal RNA", at positions 568 to 774 of the family's 1533-position model. The record is from RNAcentral.